UUGAGCGAUGCGAGCACGAGCGAGGGAGCUGAACACGGCGGGACUAAAGUUGGGGAAAGCGGAACUAUAAUUCAAAUCCUCCGCGAUAUCGCGAGUGACCAAUCAAAGCUCACCAUAACUUCCAAUCCCUACUGGACUGGCUGACAAUGGCUGUUGAUUUGUGUCACUAUUUAGCUUGCUUAGUACCCACAUGAGGGUGAGGCUAGCAUGGCUAGGCGAGUGCUGCUUGUAUAGUGUAAAUGCUAUGUAAUCCUCUAAACACAAACUGCCUUCAGGGACUAACGAUAAGGAAAGCUAAUCGCUAAACUUUCAACAGGCUGUGAAGUAUUGUAGCCUAGUUAAUUGAGCCCUAUACGGACAUCCUGUUUUGAAACCUGCAAAGAGGCUGUCCGGGUGGCUGGUCUCAGACGAUCCCACAGAUGAAGAAGCCGUAUGUGCAGGUCCUGGGAUGGCAUGGCUACACGUGGUCUGCGGUUGUGAGGCCAGUUGGACCUACUGUCAAAUUCUCUAAAACGACGUUGGAGGAAUGAACAUUCAAUUCUAUGGAAACAACUCUGACGGACAUUCCUGCAGUCAGCAUGCCAUUUACAUGCUCGCUCAAAACUUCAAAUCAAAUGUUAUUUUAAGACAUCUGUGGCAUUGUGCCAAAACUGUACAUUUUAUUUUAUUUUUUACAUUUAUUUAUCCGUUAUUUUACCAGGUAAGUUAACUGAGAACACGUUCUCAUUUACAGCAACGACUUGGGGAAUAGUUACAGGGGAGAGGAAGGGGAUGAAUGAGCAAAUUGUAAACUGGGGAUUAUUAGGUGACCGUGAUGGUUUGAGGGCCAGAUUGGGAAUAUAGCCAGGACCGCGGGGUUAACACCCCUACUCUUACGAUAAAUGCCAUGGGAUCUUUAAUGAACUCAGAGUCAGGACACCCGUUUAACGUCCCACCCGAAAGACUGCACCCUACACAGUGCAGUGUCCCCAAUCACUGCCCUGGGGCAUUUGAAUAUUUUUUAGACCGGAGGAAAGAGUGCUUCCUACUGACCCUCCAACACCACUUCCAGCAACACCUGGUCUCCCAUCCAGGGACUGACCAGGACCAACCCUGCUUGGUAUGCUGCUGGCUAGUGGCAUUUUAUUGUCCCCAGCACAAGGUGCACCUGUGCAAUGAUCAUGUGGUUUAAUCAGCUUCUUGAUAUGCAAUACCGGUCAGGUGGAUGGAUUAUCUUGGCAAAGGAUAACAUGCUCACUAACAGUGAUGUAAACAAAUUUGUGCACAAAAUUUGAGAAUUCAGAUUUUUGUGUGUAUGGAAUAUUACUGGGAUCUUUUAUUUCAGCUCAUGAAACAUGGGACCAACAUUUUUCAUGUUACAUUGAUAUUCAGUUCAAUAUAUUUACUGAUAAAUUACAUGGUAAUAUUGUAUACAGCAACAACCUAUUAACUGCUUGUUUGUUUGAGGUUCAUUACCAAAAACAAGUAGGCAUCGUUUGAUACUAGAGGUAACAAUGUUGUUCCCAAUUGUGUUGAUUUCCAAAGAAAUUAUCAGAAGGUGCCCGUUGUUAUCAUGCAAAUUCUUAGCAAAUACCCUGUAUAUACAGCCAAGGUACUCAUUGUGUAUUUAUAUCUCAUGGUAUUACCUUUUUAUUUAUUUCUGCAUUGCUGGGAAGAGCCCAUAAGGAAGCUCUUAGUCUACACCUGUGGUUUACAAAGAAUGUGACAAAUACAAUGAGAGUUUUACCACAACCUUGUCAACACUUUUCUCAUCACUUUUUUCAGCAAUGAAUGCAAAACUAAAGUCCCAGACAAAUAUCAAUACAAAUUUCAUCAAUAAGUGUAAUGUCAUUUUAUUGACAGUUUCAUCAUCACAUAGGACAUCACAACACACACAGCUGGAGAAGACACCCCCCAACAGACCUCAUAGGCUGUCCCCCAGCUUACUCUGCACCCGGCCGGGUCGCUCUACUUGCCUGGGUGGGGACUGAAGAUGGUCUUUGACCCUUUGAGGUUACAGGUAGAACUGUUUUUGGAUCCAUGUAGAACCCUUUCCACAGAGGGUUCGACAUAGAACCCAAAAGGGUUCUACCUGAAACCAAAAAGGGUUCUUUCUCCCUGGAACCAAAAUGGGUUCCUAACCCUUUUGGAACCCUUUUGUUCUAAGAGUGUAGGACAAUGGCUACUUGAAAUAGAUCAUUCAACUUUUAUCAAAUGUAUGCGUUCAUCAUUUGUUCUUUACAGCAGUCGCUUGCUCAGUCACCAGUGAGGAUCGCUAUUGCUCAAUCAGAAUAUAUUGAAUCAAUUUACACUGAGUGUACAAAACAUUAGGACAUGGACUGAUCAGGUGAAUCCAGGUGCAAGCCAUGAUCCCUCCUUGAUGUCACUCGUCAAAUACACUUCAGAUGAACGGGAGGAGACAGGGUAAAGAAGGACUUUUAAGCCUCAAGACAACGGAGACAUGGAUUGUGUAUAUCUUGCCAUUCAGAGGGUGAAUGCGCAUAAGAUUGAAGUGCCUUUGAACAGGGUAUGGUAGUAGGUGCCAGGCACACCGGUUUGAGUGUGUCAAGACCAGCAAUGCUGCUGGGGUUUUCACACCCAACAGUUUCCAAGUGUGUAUCAAGAAUGGUCCAGCACUCAAAAGGACAUCCAGCCAACUUGACAACUGUGGGAAAGCAUUGGGGUCAACAUGGGCCAGCAUUCGACACCUUGUAAAGUCCAUGCCGAAGAAUUGAGUCUGUUCUGAGGGCAAAAAGCGAAGCAACUCAAUAGUAGGAAGGUAUUCCUAAUGUUUUGUACCAUCAGUGUAUUCAAGAUGCAUUGGACAAAACCAGCUGAAAACAAGCACGUACGCGCACACACACUUGGGAACACAUCUUGGAACAGUCUUCAAUGUGAACCUCAGAUUAAAAUGAAUAAUUGUCUUUGAUCUAUAAUAACAAUUUUCAUAAUGUGGCAAGAUCGGACCUUA
Long non-coding RNA from Oncorhynchus nerka (sockeye salmon), 2950 nucleotides. RefSeq lists it as uncharacterized. The transcript is spliced from 2 exons. The record is from RefSeq and is a predicted model, not a curated record. NCBI's taxonomy places the organism in Eukaryota, Metazoa, Chordata, Actinopteri, Salmoniformes, Salmonidae.